RNAcentral lists this ribosomal RNA (620 nucleotides) under uncultured Actinomycetales bacterium. Its description in RNAcentral is "bacterial SSU rRNA". It matches the Rfam family "Bacterial small subunit ribosomal RNA", at positions 28 to 674 of the family's 1533-position model. The record is from RNAcentral. Lineage: Bacteria; Bacillati; Actinomycetota; Actinomycetes; Actinomycetales.
GACGAACGCUGGCGGCGUGCUUAACACAUGCAAGUCGAGCGCGAAAGUGACUUCGGUCAUGAGUAGAGCGGCGGACGGGUGAGUAACGCGUGGGAACCUGCCCUUUGGUACGGAACAACCCUGGGAAACUAGGGCUAAUACCGAAUACGCCUCGAGAGAGGGAAAGAUUUAUCGCCAUUGGAUGGGCCCGCGUUGGAUUAGCUAGUUGGUGGGGUAACGGCCUACCAAGGCGACGAUCCGUAGCUGGUCUGAGAGGAUGAUCAGCCACACUGGGACUGAGACACGGCCCAGACUCCUACGGGAGGCAGCAGUGGGGAAUAUUGCGCAAUGGGCGGAAGCCUGACGCAGCGACGCCGCGUGGGGGAUGACGGCCUUCGGGUUGUAAACCUCUUUCGACCUUGACGAAGCCUUUGGGUGACGGUAGGGGUAGAAGAAGCACCGGCCAACUACGUGCCAGCAGCCGCGGUAAUACGUAGGGUGCGAGCGUUGUCCGGAAUUAUUGGGCGUAAAGAGCUCGUAGGCGGUUUGUUGCGUCGGCCGUGAAAACCUGGGGCUUAACCCUGGGCCUGCGGUCGAUACGGGCAGACUUGAGUUCGGUAGGGGAGACUGGAAUUCCUGGU